UACAGAGGUCCCAAGCGUUGUUCGGAUUCACUGGGCGUAAAGGGUGCGUAGGCGGUCGGGUAAGUCUGAUGUGAAAUCUCACAGCUUAACUGUGAAACUGCAUUGAAUACUAUCCUGCUCGAGGUUUGGAGGGGGGACUGGAAUUCUCGGUGUAGCAGUGAAAUGCGUAGAUAUCGAGAGGAACACCAGUGGCGAAGGCGAGUCCCUGGACAACACCUGACACUGAGGCACGAAAGCUAGGGGAGCAAACAGG
Molecule: ribosomal RNA, 253 nt
Filed under: uncultured bacterium
Lineage: Bacteria
Description: partial 16S ribosomal RNA
Rfam family: Bacterial small subunit ribosomal RNA
Source: RNAcentral